Non-coding RNA from Microcebus murinus (gray mouse lemur), 527 nucleotides. The record is from RefSeq and is a predicted model, not a curated record. NCBI's taxonomy places the organism in Eukaryota, Metazoa, Chordata, Mammalia, Primates, Cheirogaleidae.
AAUAGUGACGGGCCCAGCAUGGAGACAUUUGUGACCUGCGUCCCCUUUGCCAGAUGCCAGACGGCCAUUAGUUAACCAGAGAGGUGACCUUUUCAGUGACAUUCCCGCCACCCGUUCACUCCCCCAGGAAGGCUUUGGGAGUCGGAGCUGGGGACACAGAGCAAGGUGGGGCUGAUCAGGGCAAAAUGAGCACACAAAACAAACGUGGAGGAUGACACGAAGCCCGAGGCACCCAACGCCGUCCAAGACAACAUAAAGAGGAGAGCAGAAUCUAACAAGGUACAACAUCAAUGACCACAAGCAGAAGCCUGAGAAUAUUUAGGUAGUAAGACACUGACUACAUUUCAUUUCAUGAGAUGAUGAUUGAUUCGAUUACUAUUGUUGUGCCAUUUUGGGACCACAAGCAGCUAUGCUUCGUGAACGGUAUGUGGCAAAUGUCCCCCACUCUCUUCUGCAACCUUACCAGCCACCACAAAUUGACAACAGUACCGUUCCAUGUUGGUCCCCCAAAUUUUCAACCCAGCACU